AUUGAACGCUGUCGGCAUGCCUUACACAUGCAAGUCGAACGGUAACGGGUCCUUCGGGAUGCCGACGAGUGGCGAACGGGUGAGUAAUAUAUCGGAACGUGCCCAGUAGUGGGGGAUAACUGCUCGAAAGAGCAGCUAAUACCGCAUACGACCUGAGGGUGAAAGGGGGGGAUCGCAAGACCUCUCGCUAUUGGAGCGGCCGAUAUCAGAUUAGCUAGUUGGUGGGGUAAAGGCCUACCAAGGCAACGAUCUGUAGUUGGUCUGAGAGGACGACCAGCCACACUGGGACUGAGACACGGCCCAGACUCCUACGGGAGGCAGCAGUGGGGAAUUUUGGACAAUGGGCGCAAGCCUGAUCCAGCAAUGCCGCGUGCAGGAAGAAGGCCUUCGGGUUGUAAACUGCUUUUGUCAGGGAAGAAAUCUUCUGGGCUAAUACCCCGGGAGGAUGACGGUACCUGAAGAAUAAGCACCGGCUAACUACGUGCCAGCAGCCGCGGUAAUACGUAGGGUGCGAGCGUUAAUCGGAAUUACUGGGCGUAAAGCGUGCGCAGGCGGCUUUGCAAGACAGAUGUGAAAUCCCCGGGCUCAACCUGGGAACUGCAUUUGUGACUGCAAGGCUAGAGUACGGCAGAGGGGGAUGGAAUUCCGCGUGUAGCAGUGAAAUGCGUAGAUAUGCGGAGGAACACCAAUGGCGAAGGCAAUCCCCUGGGCCUGUACCGACGCUCAUGCACGAAAGCGUGGGGAGCAAACAGGAUUAGAUACCCUGGUAGUCCACGCCCUAAACGAUGUCAACUGGUUGUUGGACGGCUUGCUGUUCAGUAACGAAGCUAACGCGUGAGGUUGACCGCCUGGGGAGUACGGCCGCAAGGUUGGAACUCAAAGGAAUUGACGGGGACCCGCACAAGCGGUGGAUGAUGUGGUUUAAUUCGAUGCAACGCGAAAAACCUUACCUACCCUUGACAUGUCAAGAAUUCUGCAGAGAUGUGGAAGUGCUCGAAAGAGAACUUGAACACAGGUGCUGCAUGGCCGUCGUCAGCUCGUGUCGUGAGAUGUUGGGUUAAGUCCCGCAACGAGCGCAACCCUUGUCAUUAGUUGCUACGCAAGAGCACUCUAAUGAGACUGCCGGUGACAAACCGGAGGAAGGUGGGGAUGACGUCAGGUCCACAUGGCCCUUAUGGGUAGGGCUACACACGUCAUACAAUGGCCGGUACAGAGGGCUGCCAACCCGCGAGGGGGAGCCAAUCCCAGAAAACCGGUCGUAGUCCGGAUCGUAGUCUGCAACUCGACUGCGUGAAGUCGGAAUCGCUAGUAAUCGCGGAUCAGCUUGCCGCGGUGAAUACGUUCCCGGGUCU
Molecule: ribosomal RNA, 1352 nt
Filed under: uncultured bacterium
Lineage: Bacteria
Description: bacterial SSU rRNA
Rfam family: Bacterial small subunit ribosomal RNA
Source: RNAcentral